GAGUUUGAUCCUGGCUCAGGAUGAACGCUGGCGGCGUGCUUAACACAUGCAAGUCGAACGGGCUCAUAUUGAAACCUAGUGAUUUAUGAGUUAGUGGCGGACGGGUGAGUAACGCGUGGAAAACCUGCCGUAUACUGGGGGGAUAACACUUAGAAAUAGGUGCUAAUACCGCAUAAGCGCACAGCUUCGCAUGAAGUGGUGUGAAAAACUCUGGUGGUAUACGAUGGUUCCGCGUCUGAUUAGCUUGUUGGCGGGGUAAUGGCUCACCAAGGCGACGAUCAGUAGCCGGCCUGAGAGGGUGAACGGCCACAUUGGGACUGAGACACGGCCCAAACUCCUACGGGAGGCAGCAGUGGGGAAUAUUGCACAAUGGGGGAAACCCUGAUGCAGCGACGCCGCGUGAGUAGAAGAAGUUAGUUUCGGUAUAGUAAA
Molecule: ribosomal RNA, 432 nt
Filed under: uncultured microorganism
Description: bacterial SSU rRNA
Rfam family: Bacterial small subunit ribosomal RNA
Source: RNAcentral